GGGUGCUAUACAUGCAAGUCGAGCGGACCUUUUAAAAGCUUGCUUUUGAAAGGUCAGCGGCGGACGGGUGAGUAACACGUGGGCAACCUGCCUGUAAGACUGGGAUAACUUCGGGAAACCGGAGCUAAUACCGGAUAAUAUAAGGAAUCUCCUGGUUCUUUUUUGAAAGAUGGUUUCGGCUAUCACUUACAGAUGGGCCCGCGGCGCAUUAGCUAGUUGGUGAGGUAACGGCUCACCAAGGCGACGAUGCGUAGCCGACCUGAGAGGGUGAUCGGCCACACUGGGACUGAGACACGGCCCAGACUCCUACGGGAGGCAGCAGUAGGGAAUCUUCCACAAUGGACGAAAGUCUGAUGGAGCAACGCCGCGUGAGCGAUGAAGGCCUUCGGGUCGUAAAGCUCUGUUGUUAGGGAAGAACAAGUGCGAGAGUAACUGCUCGCACCUUGACGGUACCUAACCAGAAAGCCACGGCUAACUACGUGCCAGCAGCCGCGGUAAUACGUAGGUGGCAAGCGUUGUCCGGAAUUAUUGGGCGUAAAGCGCGCGCAGGUGGUCCUUUAAGUCUGAUGUGAAAGCCCACGGCUCAACCGUGGAGGGCCAUUGGAAACUGGGGGACUUGAGUGCAGAAGAGG
RNAcentral lists this ribosomal RNA (632 nucleotides) under Bacillus sp. PASPS10. RNAcentral's name for it is "bacterial SSU rRNA". It matches the Rfam family "Bacterial small subunit ribosomal RNA", at positions 44 to 657 of the family's 1533-position model. Lineage: Bacteria; Bacillati; Bacillota; Bacilli; Caryophanales; Bacillaceae. The record is from RNAcentral.